Molecule: non-coding RNA, 47 nt
Organism: Anopheles merus
Lineage: Eukaryota; Metazoa; Arthropoda; Insecta; Diptera; Culicidae
Source: Rfam
CAAUCGGCUCUUUUCAGAGCCACCGCAGCAGUUCUUAAGAACAUCUU